UGGGGAAUAUUGGACAAUGGGGGCAACCCUGAUCCAGCAAUGCCGCGUGUGUGAAGAAGGUCUUCGGAUUGUAAAGCACUUUCGACGGGGACGAUGAUGACGGUACCCGUAGAAGAAGCCCCGGCUAACUUCGUGCCAGCAGCCGCGGUAAUACGAAGGGGGCUAGCGUUGCUCGGAAUGACUGGGCGUAAAGGGCGUGUAGGCGGUUUACACAGUCAGAUGUGAAAUCCCCGGGCUUAACCUGGGAGCUGCAUUUGAUACGUGUAGACUAGAGUGUGAGAGAGGGUUGUGGAAUUCCCAGUGUAGAGGUGAAAUUCGUAGAUAUUGGGAAGAACACCGGUGGCGAAGGCGGCAACCUGGCUCAUGACUGACGCUGAGGCGCGAAAGCGUGGGGAGCAAACAGGAUUAGAUACCCUGGUAGUCCACGCUGUAAACGAUGUGUGCUAGAUGUUGGGUAACUUUGUUAUUCAGUGUCGCAGUUAACGCGUUAAGCACACCGCCUGGGGGAGUACGGGCCGCAAGGU
Molecule: ribosomal RNA, 524 nt
Filed under: uncultured bacterium
Lineage: Bacteria
Description: partial 16S ribosomal RNA
Rfam family: Bacterial small subunit ribosomal RNA
Source: RNAcentral